RNAcentral lists this ribosomal RNA (96 nucleotides) under Halomonas halophila. The record is from RNAcentral. Lineage: Bacteria; Pseudomonadati; Pseudomonadota; Gammaproteobacteria; Oceanospirillales; Halomonadaceae.
GGGAACCACCUGAUCCCAUGCCGAACUCAGCAGUGAAACCGCUCAGCGCCGAUGGUAGUGUGGGAGUUCCCAUGCGAGAGUAGGUCAUCGUCAGGC